RNAcentral lists this ribosomal RNA (302 nucleotides) under uncultured fungus. RNAcentral describes it as "eukaryotic LSU rRNA". The record is from RNAcentral. Lineage: Eukaryota; Fungi.
GCUAUUCCGAAGGGCAUGCCUGUUUGAGUAUCAUGAACACCUCAACUCUCGUGGUUCGCCAUGAUGAGCUUGGACUUUGGAGGACUUGCUGGCCUGUGGUCGGCUCCUCUCAAACAAAUCAGCUUGCCAGUGUUUGGUGGCAUCGCAGGUGUGAUAAAUAUCUACGCUUGUGGUUUCUGCCAGAUAACCUUCAGCAAUGGAGGUUCAUUGGAGCUCAUAAAUGUCUCUCCUCAGCGAGGACAGCUCUUUGAAUGUUUGAUCUCAAAUCAGGUAGGACUACCCGCUGAACUUAAGCAUAUCAU